This 465-nucleotide ribosomal RNA is filed under the name uncultured bacterium. RNAcentral's name for it is "partial 16S ribosomal RNA". It matches the Rfam family "Bacterial small subunit ribosomal RNA", at positions 28 to 507 of the family's 1533-position model. The record is from RNAcentral.
GACGAACGCUGGCGGCGUGCUUAACACAUGCAAGUCGUACGGUAAGGCCCUUUCGGGGGUACACGAGUGGCGAACGGCUGAGUAACACGUGAGUAACCUGCCCACAACUUUGGGAUAACGCUAGGAAACUGGUGCUAAUACUGGAUAUGUGCUCCUGCUGCAUGGUGGGGGUUGGAAAGCUCCGGCGGUUGUGGAUGGACUCGCGGCCUAUCAGCUUGUUGGUGGGGUAGUGGCCUACCAAGGCGGCGACGGGUAGCCGGCCUGAGAGGGUGACCGGCCACAUUGGGACUGAGAUACGGCCCAGACUCCUACGGGAGGCAGCGGUGGGGAAUAUUGCACAAUGGGCGCAAGCCUGAUGCAGCAACGCCGCGUGCGGGAUGACGGCCUUCGGGUUGUAAACCGCUUUCAGCAGGGACGAAGCUUUUUGUGACGGUACCUGCAGAAGAAGCACCGGCUAACUACGUG